AACGUAGGAGGCGAGCGUUAUCCGGAUUUACUGGGCGUAAAGCGCGUGCAGGCGGUCGGGUAAGUUGGAUGUGAAAGCUCCUGGCUCAACUGGGAGAGGUCGUUCAAGACUGGCAGACUGGAGAGCAGUAGGGGAAGGUGGAAUUCCGGGUGUAGUGGUGAAAUGCGUAGAUAUCCGGAGGAACACCAGUGGCGAAAGCGGCCUUCUGGACUGCAUCUGACGCUCAGACGCGAAAGCUAGGGGAGCAAACGGG
RNAcentral lists this ribosomal RNA (253 nucleotides) under uncultured bacterium. RNAcentral's name for it is "partial 16S ribosomal RNA". It matches the Rfam family "Bacterial small subunit ribosomal RNA", at positions 524 to 776 of the family's 1533-position model. The record is from RNAcentral.